Molecule: long non-coding RNA, 203 nt
Organism: Mus musculus (house mouse)
Lineage: Eukaryota; Metazoa; Chordata; Mammalia; Rodentia; Muridae
Product: predicted gene, 40301
Exons: 3
Source: RefSeq, marked inferred
CACUAUGAGCCCUGCUUAGUUGAUUCUCUGGGUUUGCAGUGAAGGAUUCUUAACAGCAGUCACCACAGUGAAAAUAUAUAUGUGGCCACAGAAGUGUGUGGUGAAACCCCGAGUUAAACAAAGGAGGCUGGGAUGCAGAUGGAAGAGGCCCUUGUGCCUGGGACACAUUCACUCAUCAGGGAGGUUUCAUCAACCAGAAAGGC